UGCAAGUCGAGCGGACAGAAGGGAGCUUGCUCCCGGAUGUUAGCGGCGGACGGGUGAGUAACACGUGGGUAACCUGCCUGUAAGACUGGGAUAACUCCGGGAAACCGGAGCUAAUACCGGAUAGUUCCUUGAACCGCAUGGUUCAAGGAUGAAAGACGGUUUCGGCUGUCACUUACAGAUGGACCCGCGGCGCAUUAGCUAGUUGGUGAGGUAACGGCUCACCAAGGCGACGAUGCGUAGCCGACCUGAGAGGGUGAUCGGCCACACUGGGACUGAGACACGGCCCAGACUCCUACGGGAGGCAGCAGUAGGGAAUCUUCCGCAAUGGACGAAAGUCUGACGGAGCAACGCCGCGUGAGUGAUGAAGGUUUUCGGAUCGUAAAGCUCUGUUGUUAGGGAAGAACAAGUGCAAGAGUAACUGCUUGCACCUUGACGGUACCUAACCAGAAAGCCACGGCUAACUACGUGCCAGCAGCCGCGGUAAUACGUAGGUGGCAAGCGUUGUCCGGAAUUAUUGGGCGUAAAGGGCUCGCAGGCGGUUUCUUAAGUCUGAUGUGAAAGCCCCCGGCUCAACCGGGGAGGGUCAUUGGAAACUGGGAAACUUGAGUGCAGAAGAGGAGAGUGGAAUUCCACGUGUAGCGGUGAAAUGCGUAGAGAUGUGGAGGAACACCAGUGGCGAAGGCGACUCUCUGGUCUGUAACUGACGCUGAGGAGCGAAAGCGUGGGGAGCGAACAGGAUUAGAUACCCUGGUAGUCCACGCCGUAAACGAUGAGUGCUAAGUGUUAGGGGGUUUCCGCCCCUUAGUGCUGCAGCUAACGCAUUAAGCACUCCGCCUGGGGAGUACGGUCGCAAGACUGAAACUCAAAGGAAUUGACGGGGGCCCGCACAAGCGGUGGAGCAUGUGGUUUAAUUCGAAGCAACGCGAAGAACCUUACCAGGUCUUGACAUCCUCUGACAACCCUAGAGAUAGGGCUUUCCCUUCGGGGACAGAGUGACAGGUGGUGCAUGGUUGUCGUCAGCUCGUGUCGUGAGAUGUUGGGUUAAGUCCCGCAACGAGCGCAACCCUUGAUCUUAGUUGCCAGCAUUCAGUUGGGCACUCUAAGGUGACUGCCGGUGACAAACCGGAGGAAGGUGGGGAUGACGUCAAAUCAUCAUGCCCCUUAUGACCUGGGCUACACACGUGCUACAAUGGACAGAACAAAGGGCUGCGAGACCGCAAGGUUUAGCCAAUCCCACAAAUCUGUUCUCAGUUCGGAUCGCAGUCUGCAACUCGACUGCGUGAAGCUGGAAUCGCUAGUAAUCGCGGAUCAGCAUGC
RNAcentral lists this ribosomal RNA (1317 nucleotides) under Bacillus altitudinis. RNAcentral's name for it is "bacterial SSU rRNA". It matches the Rfam family "Bacterial small subunit ribosomal RNA", at positions 56 to 1357 of the family's 1533-position model. The record is from RNAcentral. Lineage: Bacteria; Bacillati; Bacillota; Bacilli; Caryophanales; Bacillaceae.